This 486-nucleotide ribosomal RNA is filed under the name uncultured bacterium. RNAcentral describes it as "partial 16S ribosomal RNA". It matches the Rfam family "Bacterial small subunit ribosomal RNA", at positions 30 to 507 of the family's 1533-position model. The record is from RNAcentral.
AUUGAACGCUGGCGGCAUGCCUUUCACAUGCAAGUCGAACGGCAGCACGGGUGCUUGCACCUGGUGGCGAGUGGCGAACGGGUGAGUAAUACAUCGGAACAUGUCCUGUAGUGGGGGAUAGCCCGGCGAAAGCCGGAUUAAUACCGCAUACGAUCUACGGAUGAAAGCGGGGGACCUUCGGGCCUCGCGCUAUAGGGUUGGCCGAUGGCUGAUUAGCUAGUUGGUGGGGUAAAGGCCUACCAAGGCGACGAUCAGUAGCUGGUCUGAGAGGACGACCAGCCACACUGGGACUGAGACACGGCCCAGACUCCUACGGGAGGCAGCAGUGGGGAAUUUUGGACAAAGGGCGAAAGCCUGAUCCAGCAAUGCCGCGUGUGUGAAGAAGGCCUUCGGGUUGUAAAGCACUUUUGUCCGGAAAGAAAUCCUUGGCCCUAAUACGGUCGGGGGAUGACGGUACCGGAAGAAUAAGCACCGGCUAACUACGUG